This 72-nucleotide transfer RNA is filed under the name Camelus bactrianus (Bactrian camel). It matches the Rfam family "tRNA". Rfam says of the family: Transfer RNA (tRNA) molecules are approximately 80 nucleotides in length. Their secondary structure includes four short double-helical elements and three loops (D, anti-codon, and T loops). RNAcentral also lists the same sequence under 1 other name. Lineage: Eukaryota; Metazoa; Chordata; Mammalia; Artiodactyla; Camelidae. The record is from Rfam by way of RNAcentral.
GAGGCUGUCGCUCAGUGGUAGAGCGCAUGCUUAGCACGCACGAGGUCCUGGGUUCAAUCCCCAGUACCUCCA